AGAGUUUGAUCCUGGCUCAGGAUGAACGCUAGCGGCAGGCUUAAUACAUGCAAGUCGAGGGGCAGCGGGAGUAGCAAUACUUGCCGGCGACCGGCGCACGGGUGCGUAACGCGUAUGCAACCUACCUUUAACCGGAGGAUAGCCCCGAGAAAUCGGGAUUAAUACUCCAUAACAUUAUGAAGAGGCAUCUCUUUAUAAUUAAAGCUCAGGCGGUUUUAGAUGGGCAUGCGUGACAUUAGCUAGUUGGUGAGGUGACGGCUUACCAAGGCUACGAUGUCUAGGGGUUCUGAGAGGAUUAUCCCCCACACUGGUACUGAGACACGGACCAGACUCCUACGGGAGGCAGCAGUAAGGAAUAUUGGUCAAUGGGCGCAAGCCUGAACCAGCCAUGCCGCGUGAAGGAUGACGGCCCUAUGGGUUGUAAACUUCUUUUGUACGGGAAAAAACCCUCGUUCGUGAACGGGGCUGAUGGUACCGUAAGAAUAAGCAUCGGCUAACUCCGUGCCAGCAGCCGCGGUAAUACGGAGGAUGCAAGCGUUAUCCGGAUUCAUUGGGUUUAAAGGGUGCGUAGGCGGGAUAAUAAGUCAGUGGUGAAAUCCUACAGCUUAACUGUAGAACUGCCAUUGAUACUGUUAACCUUGAGUACAUUUGAAGUGGGCGGAAUGUGUCAUGUAGCGGUGAAAUGCUUAGAUAUGACACAGAACACCGAUAGCGAAGGCAGCUCACUAAACUGUAACUGACGCUGAGGCACGAAAGCGUGGGGAUCAAACAGGAUUAGAUACCCUGGUAGUCCACGCCGUAAACGAUGAUUACUCGAUGUGUGCGAUACACUGUACGCGUCUGAGCGAAAGCAUUAAGUAAUCCACCUGGGGAGUACGGUCGCAAGAUUGAAACUCAAAGGAAUUGACGGGGGCCCGCACAAGCGGAGGAGCAUGUGGUUUAAUUCGAUGAUACGCGAGGAACCUUACCUGGGCUUAAAUGGGAGAGGACUGCUGCCGAAAGGUGGCGUUCCGCAAGGACCUCUUUCAAGGUGCUGCAUGGCUGUCGUCAGCUCGUGCCGUGAGGUGUUGGGUUAAGUCCCGUAACGAGCGCAACCCCUAUCUUUAGUUGCCAUCAGGUAAUGCUGGGAACUCUAAAGAAACUGCCUACGCAAGUAGUGAGGAAGGUGGGGAUGACGUCAAGUCAGCACGGCCCUUACGUCCAGGGCUACACACGUGCUACAAUGGCAAGUACAGAGGGUCGCUACCUGGUGACAGGAUGCUAAUCUCAAAAACUUGUCUCAGUUCGGAUCGAAGUCUGCAACUCGACUUCGUGAAGUUGGAUUCGCUAGUAAUCGCGCAUCAGCAAUGGCGCGGUGAAUACGUUCCCGGGCCUUGUACACACCGCCCGUCAAGCCAUGGGAGUUGGGGGUACCUGAAGCCGAUAACCGCAAGGAGUCGUCUAGGGUAAAACCAAUGACUGGGGCUAAGUCGUAACAAGGUA
RNAcentral lists this ribosomal RNA (1482 nucleotides) under metagenome. RNAcentral's name for it is "bacterial SSU rRNA". It matches the Rfam family "Bacterial small subunit ribosomal RNA". The record is from RNAcentral.